This 89-nucleotide small RNA is filed under the name Castor canadensis (American beaver). Its description in RNAcentral is "Taurine upregulated 1 conserved region 2 (ENSCCNG00000029251.1)". The record is from RNAcentral. Lineage: Eukaryota; Metazoa; Chordata; Mammalia; Rodentia; Castoridae.
GCAACAUAUUGGUGGUUAGCUCUUUUGUAAUUAAAUCUGGACGUACCUCAAAAGAAUCUUAAGACUGUAGUGAUAAAGAGGCUUUCCUC